This 523-nucleotide ribosomal RNA is filed under the name uncultured bacterium. RNAcentral describes it as "bacterial SSU rRNA". It matches the Rfam family "Bacterial small subunit ribosomal RNA", at positions 8 to 524 of the family's 1533-position model. The record is from RNAcentral.
AGAGUUUGAUCAUGCCUCUAAUUGAACGCUGGCGGAAUGCUUUACACAUGCAAGUCGAACGGCAGCAUAGGUGCUUGCACCUGAUGGCGAGUGGCGAACGGGUGAGUAAUACAUCGGAACGUGCCCAGUCGUGGGGGAUAACGUAGCGAAAGUUACGCUAAUACCGCAUACGAUCUACGGAUGAAAGCGGGGGACCGUAAGGCCUCGCGCGAUUGGAGCGGCCGAUGUUAGAUUAGGUAGUUGGUGGGGUAAAGGCUCACCAAGCCGACGAUCUAUAGCUGGUCUGAGAGGAUGAUCAGCCACACUGGGACUGAGACACGGCCCAGACUCCUACGGGAGGCAGCAGUGGGGAAUUUUGGACAAUGGGCGCAAGCCUGAUCCAGCCAUUCCGCGUGCAGGACGAAGGCCUUCGGGUUGUAAACUGCUUUUGUACAGAACGAAAAGCCUUGGGUUAAUACCCUGGGGUCAUGACGGUACUGUAAGAAUAAGCACCGGCUAACUACGUGCCAGCAGCCGCGGUAAU